ACAGGGCUGCAGCCCGUGGGUAAACCAACCCUGACGUGGCCGAUCUGUUCCCUUGGCAACAGGGCUCCCAAGGGCUUGACCUAAUAACCUUGACCUUUUUCCUUUGUUUCCCUGGUAAUGAAGAUUCCUAGCCAUCAGACCAUUCCUGAGAAUCUUACAAAUCUUCGUAAUAACUGAUAAUUGCAUGGUUUUGAAAAGUUUUUAAAAAACUAGCUACCCAUUAGGAGUGAAAACAAUGUAGUGAGUUGCAAUCAGCAUAUGAAAAAUUAAAUACAAUAGUAAUAUACCAAGUGACUCCCAAGUAGUAAGGAUGUAGAGCUGGAAGAAAUCUUAGGAAUGCUUUCGAUUUUUGCAGAUGAGGAAAGAAGCUCAAGACUUGCCCACAGCCAAAUGAACCUCACGGGAGAGUCUGGUUUAGUUCAGAGACCUCACCUUUCAGGCAUACCUUUCCAUUUAACUUCUGAGUCUUGGUUUUCUUAUCUGUAAAUAGGGUUAUUAAAGUUAUACCUUCUUUGUA
Long non-coding RNA from Symphalangus syndactylus (siamang), 517 nucleotides. RefSeq lists it as uncharacterized. Lineage: Eukaryota; Metazoa; Chordata; Mammalia; Primates; Hylobatidae. The record is from RefSeq and is a predicted model, not a curated record.